AUACGGAGGGUGCAAGCGUUAAUCGGAAUUACUGGGCGUAAAGAGUACGUAGGUGGUUUAUUAAGUCAGAUGUGAAAGCCCCGGGCUUAACCUGGGAACUGCAUUUGAUACUGGCAAACUAGAGUAUGGUAGAGGCGGGUAGAAUUCCUAGUGUAGCGGUGAAAUGCGUAGAUAUUAGGAGGAAUACCAGUGGCGAAGGCGGCCCGCUGGACCAAUACUGACACUGAGGUACGAAAGCGUGGGUAGCGAACAGGAUUAGAAACCCGAGUAGUCC
RNAcentral lists this ribosomal RNA (274 nucleotides) under uncultured bacterium. RNAcentral's name for it is "partial 16S ribosomal RNA". It matches the Rfam family "Bacterial small subunit ribosomal RNA", at positions 523 to 796 of the family's 1533-position model. The record is from RNAcentral.